RNA transcript from Cercocebus atys (sooty mangabey), 1530 nucleotides. It is a transcript of the gene named 40S ribosomal protein S2 pseudogene, with no coding region annotated. The record is from RefSeq and is a predicted model, not a curated record. Lineage: Eukaryota; Metazoa; Chordata; Mammalia; Primates; Cercopithecidae. The transcript has a single exon.
AGUGAGACUUCAUCUCAAAUAAAUAGUGCAUCAGUUGUACUAUCCACAUUUUGAGUGUUCAAUGACUACAUGUGGCUAGUUGCCACCAUAUUGGACUAUACGGGUAUAUAACGUUUCCAUUGUCAAAGAAAGUUCUGUUGGAUAGCUUCACAGAGCCUGAGUACAUACCAUUUCACCUUGCUGUGUCUGUUUUUCCCUUUGGGAUUGGGUGGGGCAAGUAAGCAUGGCCUAACAAUUUGGAAAUAUUUGCUUGUAAGUUCUGGAUAUGGUUCUUAGAAUAUGUAAUUAGGUACAUUUAUUCUACGUCUCACUUUUUUUUCCAAAUGAGAAAAAACAACUUUCAUUCUCUAAAGGAUGGAGUGCAGAUAAUUUCUUAGAGUGGAGGUUAUGAUCUAUGUUGUCAUGUUCAUUUCCCAGGAUAGAAUCCUAAAAGAACUACUAGGUGAAUGCAAGGUAUGAAUAUAUUUAACCCUCUGUGAAACAAUUUUUCUGAGAUAUUGUAUUAGUUCACUCAUUCACUACUAUUUGAGAAUUGUGUAAGAAGCACAUACUCCCUUGACAGUAUUCAUUAUCAUUUAAAAAACUACUUCUGCUUCUCCGAGAGAACACCAAAUGGCGGAUGACGCCGGUGCAGCGGGGGGGCCCGGAGGCCCUGGUGGCCCUGGGAUGGGGAACCGCGGUGGCUUCUGCGGAGGUUUCGGCAGUGGCAUCGGGGCCGGGGUCGCGGCCGUGGACGGGGCCGGGGCCGAGGCCGCGGAGCUCGCGGAGGCAAGGCCGAGGAUAAGGAGUGGAUGCUCGUCACCAAGCUGGGCCGCUUGGUCAAGGACAUGAAGACCAAGUCCCUGGAGGAGAUCUACCUCUUCUCCCUGCCCAUUAAGGAAUCUGAGAUCAUUGACUUUUUCUUGGGGGCCUCUCUCAAAGACGAGGUUUUGAAGAUUAUGCCGGUGCAGAAGCAGACCCGUGCUGGCCAGCGCACCAGGUUCAAGGCGUUUGUUGCUAUUGGGGACUACAAUGGCCACGUCGGCCUGGGUGUUAAGUGCUCCAAGGAGGUGGCCACUGCCAUCCGUGGGGCCAUCAUCCUGGCCAAACUCUCCAUUGUCCCGGUGCGCAGAGGCUACUGGGGGAACAAGAUCAGCAAGCCCCACACCGUCCUGUGCAAGGUGACAGGCUGCUGGGCUCUGUGCUGGUGCGCCUCAUCCCUGCACCCAGGGGCACUGGCAUCGUCUCAGCGCCUGUGCCCAAGAAGCUGCUCAUGAUGGCUGGUAUUGAUGACUGCUACACCUCAGCCCGGGGCUGCACUGCCAACCCUGGGCAACUUCGCCAAGGCCACCUUUGAUGCCAUCUCUAAGACCUACAGCUACCUGACCCCUGACCUCUGGAAGCAGACUGUGUUUACCAAGUCUCCCUAUCAGGAAUUCACUGACCACCUUGUCAAGACCCACACCAGAGUCUCUGUGCAGCGGACCCAGGCUCCAGCUGUGGCUACAACAUAGGGUUUUUAUACAAGAAAAAUAAAGUGAAUUAAGCCUG